GUACGGCCGAGGAGUUCCACAAUAGGACGAAACGGCCGUCCAGUGC
Non-coding RNA from Schistosoma curassoni, 46 nucleotides. The record is from Rfam. NCBI's taxonomy places the organism in Eukaryota, Metazoa, Platyhelminthes, Trematoda, Strigeidida, Schistosomatidae.